RNAcentral lists this ribosomal RNA (184 nucleotides) under uncultured bacterium. Its description in RNAcentral is "partial 16S ribosomal RNA". It matches the Rfam family "Bacterial small subunit ribosomal RNA", at positions 1307 to 1500 of the family's 1533-position model. The record is from RNAcentral.
GCAACUCGCCUGCACGAAGCCGGAGUUGCUAGUAAUCGCGGAUCAGAAUGCCGCGGUGAAUGCGUUCCCGGGUCUUGUACACACCGCCCGUCACACCAUGGAAGUUGGGGGUGCCCAAAGCCGGCAGGGAAAUAUGCUGUCUAAGGCAAAACCAAUGACUGGGGUGAAGUCGUAACAAGGUAUC